AUACGGAGGAUGCAAGCGUUAUCCGGAUUUAUUGGGUUUAAAGGGUGCGUAGGCGGAUGAUUAAGCGUGAGGUGAAAUGCCACAACUCAACAGUGGAACUGCCUCGCGAACUGGUUGUCUUGAAUGCUCCUGCCGUGGGAGGAAUGUGUGGUGUAGCGGUGAAAUGCAUAGAGAUCACACAGAACACCGAUUGCGAAGGCAUCUCACGAAGGGGUGAUUGACGCUGAGGCACGAAAGCGUGGGGAUCAAACAGGAUUAGAUACCCUGGUAGUCCACGCAGUAAACGAUGAUAACUAACCGCUGGGUCGUAGUGAUUCAGUGGCCAAGCGAAAGCGAUAAGUUAUCCACCUGGGGAGUACGACCGCAAGGUUGAAACUCAAAGGAAUUGACGGGG
RNAcentral lists this ribosomal RNA (394 nucleotides) under uncultured bacterium. Its description in RNAcentral is "partial 16S ribosomal RNA". It matches the Rfam family "Bacterial small subunit ribosomal RNA", at positions 523 to 918 of the family's 1533-position model. The record is from RNAcentral.